RNAcentral lists this long non-coding RNA (19274 nucleotides) under Nicotiana tabacum (common tobacco). Its description in RNAcentral is "long non-coding RNA (NTAB_LNC002732)". Lineage: Eukaryota; Viridiplantae; Streptophyta; Magnoliopsida; Solanales; Solanaceae. The record is from RNAcentral.
GAAAAAGAACGAUUACCUACCCCUCCUGAGUUUAUUGCUACCGUUCCCAAUUUCGAAGGGGCUAGUGAAGAGACCUUUGGAGGCUCUCAUCCCUCUCAAUCCUUGAGAGCAAAUAUUAACUCUUUUGAAACUCAAACAAAUUUACACACACACAUUAACAGAGAAAAGAACGGAAAUCACUUUAGAACUAAGGGGAAGGAAAAAAAAAUUUAGGGGAGCAAAAGAAAUCAAUCUGGUCUCGCUCAAGCUUAGCCGCACAUCUUUUGAUUUUGUCGCCGACAAAGCCAUCUCACAGGAGUUCCGAUUUCAUCACUGCUUUCUACUUUCUUCCCAUUGAAAUUAAUUGAUUUAUUUGGAAACAACCGAAAUCUUUCUCUGCUAAGUUGUAUUGGAGCUGGGGUACUGAAAAAGUUCGAGGUCGCCGGAGAAUUUUCGAUUUAAGUUCCAUCCAUCAUCUCCGGUUGCGGUAUUUGGAAGUUCUGUUUCUCCUUAUGUAUUGGAGAAAAUUUUCAAGCCAUUGAAGGUUCACUCUUGUUCUUAUCCUCCGGUUCAAUAAUAUUUUUAUCUUUCAUGCUUUAAAUCCAUUCUUUGCCAUAUCUUAUUGUUUUGUUUGUUUUUUUGGUCAUUUAAGCUAGUUUACUCAGUAUUUGGGCAUGUUUAAAUUGUUUUAUUACUAUUAUAUUUUUGUUAUCUUGUUGCUAGAUGAACUAAGCUUUGUCACCAAUAAAAACUUUGGUAUAUUUCCUCAUUUAUUAUGUUACAUCGUAUAGUCACAAUUGCCAGGAACUAAUCAAACAAACAUAUGACGUUUUACUUUUCUUAACUUAUUUGCUUAUUUGUUGUGCCACAAUGGAUUGAUGAUUUAAGCAUGAACGUUGUGAUCAUCGUAUUUUAAGGUGUUAUCUUUUCCAAUUUGGAGUUUCGCCAAUUAUAAUUGGCUAUGAGAACUCAUAUAUUGAACGAAUAUCAUUAAAGUGUAGAAAAUGUUUUACUGUAUAACUAGUUUAGGAAAAAUAAUUCUUAAUUCGUAGCUUUCUUUAGGCGCGAUUAAAUAAAUUAUCGUGGCCAUGGGUAAGGUUCCUGUGGCAUGAUUACGAUACGUGAAUCUCAACUCGGGUGCGCAUUUAUGUGACCCAAAUCCAAAUCUCAAUAAUGUUAGAUAAAAUGUGUUGCGGACUGCGAGUGCAUUUAUGUGACGUGGUUCAAGACGUAUUUUAAAUGACGUUUGCAGUCUUCCUUAAAAUGAAUAAAAGCGGUUAUAAAACUAAAAUUGAACCAUAGGCUAAAACAUAUAUUAAAAUUAGAUAAUAGGCAAAUUAUAACAGUUGAGCGACCGUGCUAGAACCACGAAACUCGGGAAUGUCUAACACCUUCUCCCGGGUUAACAGAAUUCCUUACCCGGAUUUCUGUGUUCGCGGACUGUAAAACAGAGUCAAUUUUUUCCUCGAUUCGGGAUUUGAACCGGUGACUUGGGACACCAUAAAAUUAUCCCAAGUGUCGACUCUGAAUUUUUAAAUAAAUAAUACCAUUUCAAUUGUCACUUUAAGUUGGAAAAAACUCCCCCUUACACCCUUCCGGGGUGUAGGUAAAAAGGAGGUGUGACAGUAGUGACUGAAACCACCUGAGCUAGGCUAGUGAAAACUAAUAGAAUCUGAGCCAAGGCCUCCUGAAGACCCGAAAUCACAAUGGGCAUAGUUGGUGCCUGAGCUGGUGCUGCUGGAGCAUCCACAACUGGGACCUGAUCCUAAAUUGGGGCGGCUGGUGGAUCUGCAGGUGCUGCCCUAGUUGCUAUGCGGGCCACACCUCUGCCCUUACCGCAACCACGACCGCGUCCUCGGCCUCUAGUGGCCACAACUGGUGUUACUGGUGGUCGUCCAUCCUGACCGAUAGCGUGUGUCCUCACCAUCUGUGAGAGAAUACAAUGACAGAAGUUUAGUACUCGGAUCAACAAAUUCGCACGACAAGAAUUUCAAGAAUAUGAAGUGUUUCCUAGGCUCUGAUACUAACUUGUCAGGACCCCAAACCCAUACCCGGUCGUGAUGGCGCCUCUCGUGAAGACAAGGUCAGCCGACACAUUUCCAAUUCAGUUUUAAGCAAUUAAACAAUAAACAUUUAGUCUUAAACAUGAUAUAAAUCCAAAAGUAAGCGGUGAAUACAAAACAAUUUACGGAAUACAAUCCAACAUAGCCCGAUACCGGGGUGUCACUAUUCAUGAGCAUCUAUCAAAACACUACAAGUCUGAAAUGCCUACUAACUAUUACAAAAUAACUGAUAAAGAGAUAGAAAUGAGAUAAAGGGGGAGAAACACGGGAAUGCGGACGCCAAGCAGCUACCUCGUGGACUCCGAAGUUUGCCGGGAGGUCUCAACUCGCACUAGUAGGAUCAGGAACGCCUGAAUCUGUACGCAGGGUGCAGGGAGUAAAGUGAGUACUCCAACUCAGUGAGUAAUAAUCAUAAAUAAAUGACUAAGAGAUAUGAAAACACGUAAGGCACAUUAUAGGCUAUAAUGAAGCAGUAAAAGUGUUUCCUCACAAUAUAGGCCCUCGACCUUACUCAGUCAAAAUCCUCACAAGCCACUCGGGCAAUAGUAAACAUGAUUCUCAGCCCAAAAUAUUAUUUAAAAGAUCAUUUAAGUGUUAAAACAGGGUAAACAUGGAUGAGUUAUAAAAAUAGUGGAAUAUAGCAUGACUGAGUUCAAGUAUAAAGUCAAAACAGUGAUGAAAUAUCAAUAAAAAUCCCCUAAGAGUUUAAAUAGUUGGCACGAGGUCCAAAUAAGACAUUCAGCCCAAAACAUAAUGAUAGCAAAUAGAUUUCAGUCAAUUACGCAGUAAAAUAGUCAUUCAGGACGGACUAAGUCACAAUCCCCAACAGUGCACGACCCCACCCUCGUCAUCAAGCGUGUGCGUCACCCCAAUAUAGAACAGCGAUGUGCAAUCCGAGGUUUCAUACCCUCAGGACAUCAUUUACAAUUAUUACUCACCUCAAUCUGGUCCAAACUCUAGCCCGCGAUGCCUUUCCCCUCGAAUCGGCCUUCACUCACGUCGAAUCUAUCCAAAAUCAGAAUUACGGCAUCAAAAUAUGCAAUUUACAACAUAAAUCAAAAAAUUACCAAAACCCGAUCCCUGGGCCCACAUCACGGAUUCCGAUAAAAAUCACAUCAAAAAAGGAUUUCCUUAUCACUCCCCGAGUUCAUUUAUACCAAAAGCAUCAAAAUCUAACCACAAAUGACCCCUCAAAUCCCAAAUUCUAGGACUCCAAUUUCAAGCCCUAGUUCUUCAGAUUUAGGCUUAAUUCCCAUGAUUAAUUAGGUAGAUUUCACGUUAGAAUCAAGUUUUAAGUCCAUGAAUCUUACCUGCAAGUGAUUCCCCUUGAAUCCCUCUUCAAUUCUCUUCAAAAAGCUCCAAAAACGCUUAACAAUGGUAAAAAUCCAAAAUCGCGGACACGACGAAUAUUUAAACAUUCUGCCCAGGCCAUAAAUCCUUCUUCGCGAACGCGGUCCACGCCUCGCGUUCGCGAAGCACAAAAUAACUUUGACCAAAAAUUACUCUUCGCGAUCGCGACCUGCCCAUCGCGAAUGCGAUGGUUCCUCAGACAACUCUUCGCGAACGCGCUCCCUUACACGCGAACGCGAUGAACAAAACACCUCAAACCCCAGCUGACUAAUUUCCACUAUGCGAACGCAGUCCUCUUCGCACGAACGCGAUGACCAAUCACCCAGCCCUUCGCGAGCGCGAAGGCCAAAAUUCCAACCUUCACCAGCUAACCCUUCGCGAACGCGAGGGCCAACUCGCGAACGCGAAGGCCAUUUUCUCUGCAACAUUGUUCAGGAAUUUCUGUAAUUCCAAACAUUAUGAAAUGGUCCGAUUGACCACCCGAAACUCACCCGAGGCCCCCGGGACCUCAACCAAACAUGCCAAAAUAUCCCAUAACCUCAUUCAAACUUGUUCCAACCUUCGGAACGCUCAAAACAACAUCAAAACACCAAAUUUGCAUCGGAUUAAAGCCUAAGAAUUUCAAAAUCUUCUAAAUUACACUUUUGAUCAAAAACCCAACCAAACCACGUCCGAAUGACCUGAAAUUUUGCGCACAUAUCCUAAAUGACCCAACGGAACUACUGUAACUCUCGGAUUCCAUUUUGACCCCUAUAUCAAAAUCUCACCUAUCAACUGGAAAACACCAAAAAUUCAAUUUCGCCAAUUCAAGCCUAAAUCUACUCCGAACCUCCAAAACACAUUCUGAUCACACUCCUAAGUGCCAAAUCACCUCCCAAAGCUAUCUGAACCAUUGAAACGCACAUCCGAGCCCUCUAACUCAUAAGUCAAUAUCCGGUUGACUUUUCCAACUUAAGCUUCUUCAAAAGAGACUAAGUGCCUCAAACCUUGUCAAAACCUCUCCGAACCCGAGCCAACCAACCCGAUCACAUAUAGAACCGAUAGAAAAAGAAAUAAGAAGCAUAAAUGGAGAAAAAAGAACGGUAACUCAUGAGAUGACUGGCCGGGUCAUCACAGAAAAAAUCCGUACAAUAUUCUUGAGAAAGAUGGUACCGUACUCUCUCAAAAUUUGCAAUUCAUGCUUUAUCCCAUUGCUACGGAAUCAACGAACAACAUCAUUCAUAUUUGAUAUGGAAUAUUUGCUCUUUGAGGGAUUAAAUUUCGACCAGCUCCUCAAACUCAUCAUUGUCCAUGGAAUCGUUAUGGACCUUGGCAUCAAUGCAUCUGCGACCAGUCCCUCAAACGCAACUCUUUAAUUUUUGAUCUUUAGAUAUUAGGAAGUAAGACAUAGCACUAGUUGUUGGAAAAUUCUUAUAGUGGGUGUGGCCCACUUAUUAGAUGAGUAAGACAUUUAAUUCCCUAAAUUUGCCACCUAUUUAAGACUUAGAAGUCACUUUUAAAAUGAUGGGGAUGCUGCCACAUUUUUGGGAGGGCUAAGUUAUCUAAAAUCUUUAAUUAUCCAAAUUUUAGUUAAUCUCCCACUAACCAAUAAUAACCAAUUACCUACAUAAUUAAGAACUAUAUUAAAAUACUAUCCACUUUUAAUAUACCUUAUACACCUUACUAUCAUGGUCAUGUGGUACCUUGUAUGGUAAUAGUUCAUAAAUACCGAGUAUUAACGCGUGGCCCGAAUUCUAUCCCAACAUGCAAAACUUGGACGAGAAUUCAUUUUCUUUGACUUGCUUCCCCUCUCAUCAUCAUGAAUUUACUCAUCACUUGUUUGAAAUAGCAUAAUCCUUAUAAUCUCCAAAUAAUCUUUUCCUUGGACUGAUGUUAAUUACUUUACAAUAAAUUUAACGUACAAUACUACAUGGUGCAAUAUCAUAGUAAUUUAAUAAUGUGAAGCGUAACAUCAUCGUAAUGUAGUACUACAAGGCAUAACAUCAUCGUAAUAUAAUACUGUGGCACGUAAUAUUGACGUAAUAUUACAUCUUGUAACAUCAUUCCUCCCUUUGGAACAUUCAUCCUCGAAUGUUGAUUGAUGCUCUUAUCAUUUUCAUAACUUAUAGCUCUUGUGAAUACCUUAAUACUAUCCUUGCCAUUUAGGCAAUUGUUCUGUGAAUAAAUCCAAAGGCCAGGGCAUUCCAUCCCUUUAGGCCUCUUUCCCACGCCAUGACUUGUGAUUGAAUUCCUUCCAAUCUCGUAAUUGUUGCUACCUUCUAUCAUGCAGCCUCUACGAUACUGACUUUGUGAGUGUUCCUAUGCGACUCUCCUCUUCUUUUUCCCUACAACUUUUAGCCAAUCUCUAGGCCAUACUUUGUAAACAUAUACAAGGCUUAACAGGAUGCCUCUCUGGGCAUCUAUAGGUAUACUGAAGUUCUUUGCUUGGUACUUUGUAGAACUUGCGAAUAUGGCUAUAUCUUAUUUCAUAGAUCUGGUUAUCCAUUCGUAUGACUUUACUGCAUCUACGCAGGUCAUACUAUACCAUAAUUCUUACUUUGAUUUAUCGUUACUGAGGUUUGCAACCAACUCCAGGUUACUCUCGUUGCUUAUCCUUAAGACUGAUGGUUUAAUCUCAUCUCGUACUGUUGAACUUUUAUCCAUCUAUUAUUGAUUCAUUAUCCACCAUUGAUAACUUGAUCUUUUAUGUAACACCACUGCUAGGGCUCGCGUCUCAUCGGGGAUAUCAGGAGUAAUUAGAUUGAUCCUAGGGUGAUACUAUACUUCCAUAACCGUACUUUAUAGCAUCCCAAUGUGACUCACCUUAUAUGGGUAUUUUAGUCCCUUACAAUUCAUGAAAUCCUCUCCCCGCCCCUUUUUUUCUACUUCAAAUCAUUACACAAGUGAAGGCCCAAACGUCAUCCUUUAUUUAUCACAAUUACACCCUCAUUCUGCUACCAGGGCAGCAUUCUAGUUCUUCUAAAUGCCACUAGUCUUAGAUUUCUUUGAGUUCUUUCAGGCUAUAUUGAGCUUUCUAUAACUUAGAGGAACCAUCAUCUCCUUUGUUUUCACGGGAUUAAUCCUGAGGACUUAUCCAUUUUCAUCACCUUCUCCCCUACCUUCUUCUUAUCCUUAGUCUUGUCUUUCUAAAACCUUAUCGUUCUAUCAUACUUUAGCUUGCAAUCGAUUCCCUUAGGGAUAUCAAGCGAGACAUCGCAUCGGCUCUAACUCUUCUUUUAUUCUCUAAUUAGACCUUUCGAUACUUAGAAACCAUAGGCUGGAAGGUAUGUUACUGAUGACGCUGCUAUCAUCCCUGGCUACUGAAUCUCAGCGCUUCUAGUUUUUUACCUGAAGUAUGGACCACUCUCAUCCUUCUAUACUUGAGUAUUUCGUACAUUGUUCACAUUUACCUUACUUGCUUUAAAAUAUCACCUUACAUUCUUCUAUCUUUCUUUAUAACCUCCCUCCCACAUAGGUAUAAAUCACAUCCACCAUUUGAAGCUUUAUUAUAAUACUUGCACCUCUGGUGCCUAUACAAUCCGGUGGGAGCUCCAUACUGACUUCUUACGAGGCUGGUAUUUCUUCUAACUGGCUUUAUCGUAGAUUUGUUAUAGAAUAUAGUUGUUGUGCUAUCCCACUCGCGAACGCGAAGAACAACUAUCUACAACACUAUAUCAGAUUUUCUGCAAUCUUUUUCAACAUGAAAUAGUCCGUUUAACCACCCGAAACUCACCUGAGGCCCUCGGGACCACAACCAAACAUGCCAACCUAUCCCAUAACAUCAUUAAACUUGUUCCAACCUUCAGAACGCUCAAAACAACAUCAAAACACUAAAUUUGCAUCAGAUUCAAGCCUAAGAGUUACAAAUCUUCCAAAUUCUGCUUUAGAUCAAAAAGUCUAUCAAACCAUGCCCGAAUGACCUGAAAUUUUGCACACACAUCCCAAAUGACAAAACGGACCAACUGCAACUCUUGGAACUCCAUUUUGACCCCUAUAUAAAAAUCUCACCUACCAACCAAAAAAUGCCAAAAUUCCAAUUUCGCCAAUUCAAGCCUAAAUCUACUCCGCACCUCCAAAACACAUUCAGAUCAUGCUCCUAAGUCCCAAAUUACCUACCGAAGCUAUCCGAACCAUCGGAACUCACAUCUGAUCCCUUCAUCACAUAAGUUAACAACUGGUUGACUUUUCCAACUUAAGCAUACUCAAAAGAGUCUAAGUGACUCAAACCUUACCAAAAUCUCUCCAAACCCGAGCCAACCAACCUGAUAGCAUAAAAUACAGCUGAACAAGGCAAUAAGAAGUAGAAAUGGGGGGUAACAGAGUGGUAACUCAUGAAACGACCGGUCGGGUCAUUACAAUCACUCAGUUCCUAAUUCAUGUUUAGUUUACCUUGUUCACCAGUCCAUAAUGAUUUCUAUUACUCUGGGGUCUAACUUUUUCUUCUGUUAAUCACGUUAAAGUUGUGAACUUAUUUCUCAAAAUAAGGAUGUGAUUGUAUGGCCUAUACUCUUUUGUUGUCUUAAGGCCCAUCACCUUUCUUCUCUUUCUUCAUUUGACUAUAGAUUCUGUAACACUCUACUAUUGCCAUCCAUGUAUCACAUCUCACUCAUAAUGCUUCAUUAUCCCUCUUUGUACUUCCCUGCUAAUAAUUACGUCUAUCACUUUAUCUUGAAAACUUUAACAAGAUAUUUUUUUUGCUUUUACCUUCCCUUGCUCCAUCUACUGGCUCUUCGGGCUGCCUAAUAUUCUCCCUCUACUAAGGACUGGAGUCAUACUAAGAAAAUAUUUAUCCCUUCAAGGUUUCUAGUUCCUAUCUUUGUAGUACUCAUAUCUAGCUGUACUAUUUUAGUGUGCACCAUCUGGGUAUCUCACAAGAAGAUCUAUUAGCACAUUUGCAAUAUCCUUCGGAAAUGUCAACUAACGCAAAUAAUUCAUCCAUCAUUUUGGCUCACUCUAACCUCAGCCGAAUCAUGAUAUUAUGUCCUUCUCUUAAACCAUAUUUGUUAGCCCCCAUGGAGUAUAACUUAGAUCGGUGUGACCAAUUAUACAUAACUCUGUUGCUGUUGAAGGUAACUCAAAAUGCUUAUAUCCCUCUUCCUGAGUGGUAAAUAAGGAUAAUUUUUAUUAACUGUGUACCUCGUACCCUUCUUCACCUUUCUUCUUUUACUUGCUGCAACUUGUGUCUAACUUUUGAUUCUGUUGUUCCUUUUUACCGUAAGAGUGGAUAAGUAUUCUUUCCUAAAAGCUCCUUAUCAAGAACCGUACACCUUUUAGUAUAUGCAUGACCUGCUGAAGACCUCUCAUUUACUCAUCAUAAGCAAGAUGCGAAAUCGAGUUCCUCUAACUCAACACUUCCACAGCUAUAUCUUUUAUCGAUCGCCUUUCUGAAUAUAGGAAUCGUCUUAUCACGAAUAGAAGUUCAGGAUUGGAAUUCUUAUAAGUGAGCUCUACCACACGAUCUAGAGUAAGAAGAAAGAGUGACAGUCCUAAAUGCCCUGUAGCCUCCUGCUUAUAAGUGUGGUGCACAACACACCCAUAAAUAAGACUCUACUAGACACGGCUUGUAGACUCCCUAUGACAGAACUGCUCUGAUACCACUUUAGUCAUGCCCCAAACCUGGGGGCGAGAUCGGCACCCGAUACCUUACUCAACCGAGUACCAACAUAACGUAUUUUUUCAUGUCAUAUUAUCAUAGAUAAUUGAGCCGGAAGGCUUCUGUGAGAUAAGUAGAAUACAACAUGUGAUACCAACUUAUACAUAAGACAUACGGGCCUAUAAGACCAAAAUAACCACUCGUAUACCAAACAUAGGCCGACAAGGCCAUACAAGCUUUUACAUACAUGACAUCUGUCUACAAGCCUCUAAGAAUACAUAAUUUUCAUAAAGGUCGGGACAGAGUCCCGCCAUACUAGACAAUACACGUCUAAAUCAUACUAACUAAACAAGAAACUCCGAAGAAAAUGGAGUGCACCAACAUCUUCUGCUAAGCUGAUAGCCUACUUGGAGGGCUCUCGACCUGUCUAUUAGGAUCUGCGGGUAUGAAACACUGCGUCCCCAGGUAAAAGGUACGUCGGUAGGAAUAAUGUACCGAGUAUGUAAGGCACAUAAAUAAGUACAUAACAGACAUGAAAGAAAUAUAGAGUAAAUGACUUAACCAGCAAGUCUGGAUAACUCUGUAAAUCCUGAAAUACUUAUAGUGUAACGACCCGAUCGGUCGUUUUGAUCAUUUGCACUUUGCUCGCCAGUUCUCGGGCAUGACUAGCCCCGUAAGAUGUAUUAUAACUUAUGUAAAUCAUUGGUUUUGAUUUUCAGGUUAAUCGAAAUAGAUAUGGAAGAAUGAUUCUCAUCUUGAAGCUUUAAAUUUGAAAGGUUUGACCCAGUCUUGACUUUUUAGUAUUCGAUAUCAGAUUUGGAUUUUUAUGACUUGGUUAGCACCAUUGGGUGAUUUUGGACUUACGAACAUGUUCAGAAUGCAAUUUAGAGGUCCGUGGUAGAUUUAGGCUUGAAUUGGCGAAAUUAGAAAUUUGGCAUUUUCUGGUCGGCAGUAGAAAUCUUUAUAUCUGGUUCGGAAUGGAAUUCCAAAAAUUUUAGUAGGCUGAUUGUGUCAUUUGUGAUGUGUGAGCAAAAUUUUAGGUCAUUCGGAUGAGAUUUUAUAGGUUUUGGCAUCGUUUGCGGAAUUUGGAAGUUUGGAAAUCCUUAGACUUGAAUACAAGGGUGAUUUGAUGUUGUUUUGAGUGUCCCGAAGAUUGGAAUAAGUUUGAAUGAUAAUAGGUGACUUGUUGGCAUGUUUGGUUGAGGUCCCGAGGGCCUCGAGAUGGAUUUGAGUGGUUGAUGGGAUGUUUAGCUUUGAGUGUUGCUAUAGAUUUUGAUGCUUCUGUCAGUUUCGCACCUACGGAUUGGGUACUACAAGUGCGAGGUUGAAGAUGCGUGAGGAAGGCCGCAGAUGCAUUUUUGGAGUAGUUGAAGCUUGAUCAUAGGUGCGGCAAUUUUAUCGCACCAGCGGGGCCGCAAGUGCAGUGUUGUCAUCGCAGAAGCGGUUUCUGAGGGCAUAAGUGGGAACCGUACCUGUGAUGGAUUUUCUACAAGUGAGGUGUCGCAGAAGCGACAUUUUGACCGCAUAUGCGGUACCUCUAGGCAAAAAGUAUAAAUUGUGGACUUCGCGAAUUUUGGUUCAUUUUCCACCAUUUUUAGUCUGCUUUGGAGCUUUUCAGAGUGAUUUUGAGGAGGAAUUCAAGGGUUUAUCAGUAAGGUAAGUGGCUUGAGCCCUAGCACUCGUAUAUGUGAUGAUUUCCCAUUGUUGAAUCAUAUAAUUUAUGAAUAUUAGGGGUGAAAAUGAGGGGUUAGGUCUUGGGAUUUUUGGAGAGUUUGAUUGAGGAUUGAGGGGUCAAAUGGAGUCGGAUUUUGAUAAAUUUGGUAUGUAUGGACUCAUGCGAGGAUAAGGAUUCUAGUUUUGCAAUUUUUAUCGGAUUUCAAGACGUGGGCCCGGGGGUCGGGUUUGGCCAAUUUUGGGAAUUUUGAUUUAAUUUGAUAAUUUUUGCGUAGGCCUUGUUCCUUUAGCAUGUAUUGAUGAUAUGAUUAAGAUUGUGGAUAGAUUCAAAAUGAUUUGAGGCUGAGUCAAGCGGUAAGGGCAUCGCAAUGUAGAUUUUCGUCCGGUUUGAGGUAAGUAAUGAUUGUAAAUGUUGUUCUGAGGCUAUGAAACCUCGGAUUUUACAUCGUUUCACUACUUUGAGGUGACGCACAUGCUAGAUGACGAGCAUGGGGUCAUGCACUAUUGGGGAUUAUGACUUGGUCUGUCCCGUAUGACUAUUAUGUCGCAUAUUUGAUUGAAAACUAUUUGAUAUUAUUGUGUUUUGGAAAGCAUUACUAUGUUUUAGGCUAGAUGCCAUAUUUGGGCCACGUCCCAACUAUUUGGACCCUUAGGGUUUUUCUUUACUAAAACUCCUCACUGUUUUUAUUUAAUAAUUGUACGCAGUCAUGCUAUAUUCUACUAAUUUCAUAACUCAGUCUUAUUUACCCUAAUUUGAUGCAUAAAUGAUAUUUCGACUGAGCAUCCUAUUUUACGAUAGCCCGGGUGGCUUGAGAGGUUUCUGACUUAAUGAGGCCGAUGUCCUGUGUUGUGAGGAUAUCAUGGAAUUGGGCUGCGCGCCGCAACAUGUUGUACUGAUUUGUGAUAUAUGAGAAGACGAAGGCCUGAUUUAUUAUGCCACGAGGUGGCUUGUUAUGUGAGGCCGAUGGCCUGAUUUAUUAUGCCACGAGAUGACUUGUUAUAGCGUUUGGGCUGUAGGAGCUCCUCCGAAGUCUGAACACCCCUAGUGAGCGCGGGUACCCAGUGUGAGUGAUGUGAUGUUCCCCGAGGGGCUAUUUUUUAUUUAUGUUAUUGCCCGAGGGGGUUGAUUACGAGUGAUUGUGAGGUAGCCCGAGGGCUGGUUCUGUUGAUAUUUUGCCCGAAGGGCGGUUUAUGAUUCAUUUUGCCCGAGGGGCUAUAUACGAAUGAGUUUUUGCCUGAGGGGCCGACUAUGUUUUCAUCAUUUCUACUCACUGUUUCAUCACUUGUUUAAAAACUACUGAAAGAUGUUUUAAAUAGAUUUUAACACAUAUUCAAAUGAUUUCUACCAAAAACUGGACUUUUAAUGAAAUGAUUUGAUAUAUAUACUGUUUUGGAAACACAUUGUACUUACUGUAGUGUUAUGAUGUGGAUUAUGUAUUUUCUUACUGCUCAGUCUUUAUUUACUCUUAUUACUUACUGAGUUGGCGUACUCACAUUACUCCCUGCACCUUGUGUGUAGAUUCAGAUAUUACUGAACCCGGUAACGGGUGUUGAUUACUUAGUGGGAGGUUCAUCAAAGUUAACAAGGUAGCUGCCCAGCGUUCGCAGCCCUGCUCUUCUCCCUCUUAUCUUCCUUAGACUGUUUUUAGUAUAUUUUCAGACUCUUUGUUAUAUUCAGACCUUAGUAGAUGCUCAUGACUUGUGACACCCCAAUGUCGGGCUUGUGUUAUUUUCUUUUGCACUGGUUAUUUAGACUUAUGUUAUGAGAUUCUGUUAAUUUAAUAGCUUAAAAAUGACUUUUAUGAAAUACUGGUUUGAUUUGGGAUUUGUGUCGGUUGGACUAGUUUUAUGAUAGGCGCUAUCACGACCGGCUCAGUUUUAGGGUCGUGACAAGUUGGUAUCAGAGCCUAAGUUACAUAGGUCUCAUGAGUCAUGAGCGGGUUAGUAGAGUCUCGUGGAUCGGUACGAAGACGUCUUUACUUAUCUUCGAGAGGCUGCAGAACCUUUAGAAAAUCCCACAUUCUUGAAUUCUUAUCGUGCGUCAUUGAUUCAACCCUAAAUGUAACUCUUGAAAUUCCUUCCACGCAUUCGUAUGUGCCCGCUCGGUAUUAGUUGUGCAUCGAUGGCUUGUGAUUCCCUAAUCGAGGGGUGAGAUGUGACUUCUGUGUGUUGAUAUUGGGCCAGUUUAGAGAACUUGAGGCCGGGUUUUUCCAGUUGCUUGAGCACUGAGGUGUUGAUUGUGAGAGCAUGUACUUCUGGAUUUAUAUGUUCGGUAGUGUCCCUAUUAGUGGAAGUGAUGACUGGAUAGCUAUGUGAUGAAUAUGAUGUGACUGCGAGAUGUGUUCAUAUGAUUUGAAUGUGACGAGAAGGGUCUGCUUGAGAAUAGAAAGAACUAUUUGGUGCUUGAUUUCCAUCUUGAUUUGAUGUAUAGCCCUGAGUUAUGAGUGUGUGGAGGAUCUUUUCAUGUUGUCUAGUUGGGGGAGUGGAGUAGAUUUUAUGUUACGAUAUGAGUUCAGACUCAGGAAGAUUAAGUGACUGCGAGAUGUUUAUGAUAGUGGAAGUGUAUGAAGAGUUGUUAGUUUGAGGUGAUGCAGGUGGGUUAUCUCCUGUGGAGUGUUCUGAAGUUUGUGUGAUCCUUAUGUUGUUUGUUGGAAGACCUCUUUUACUAGUGAAAUAUAUGUGUUGCGAUUUGAAUUUGGAUCGCUUAAAAGAGUAGGCUUGACUGUUAUGAGGGUGAAUGCGAGAUUUGCAGAAGAUUUGAAUUACUAGAUGGCUUGUGUUGCACGAGCUUAUAAAGGAUUAAGUUUAAUCUCACUAUGGUAUUAUGGUGGUAUUAGAGUAUAGGCAUUGUGAGUUAUUGUGUGUUUUGAUCUAUGUCUUUGAGCCAAGUGGGGGAGUCUGCAAUUGAUCAGUUGGUUGCAAAGUUAUGUGCUAUGUUGAUUCCAAUUGGAGGCAUACUGGUGAAUCAGUUAUGGCUUACAGAGGUUAAGAUCGAGGAUGACUCGAGUAAAGGAAAUUUUGGAUAGGGGUUGUGUUAUGCUUUAUGGGUGUAUAAGAAUCAUGGAAUGACUUGAGUUGUUAUUGGUGAAGGACGUAAUGUGCAUGGAGCAGGAAAUUAUUUGGUUGUUUUAAGGUGGGAUUACUUUUUGGGGUGUUGGAGUGCUGAUGGAGCAGAGGUUGUUCGGUCCAUUUGAUCAGUCUAAUUGAGGUUUGAGUAGAGUGGAAGACUCCCCAGAAUGGUUUUAAAGGGUUCAAGAUUUACAUGUAGUAAUUGGAGAUCUUCACGAUGUAUAUUUGGCUAGAAACGAGGGUUCACAUUGGAGGGUGCCAAGACUUGUAGCAUAUCAUUGUGGAUUCUACAUAUCAGUAUUAGGAAGGUGAAAUUAAUGGAUUUAGAUUCACAGGAAGUCUCUUCAAGGUAAGUAUUUGAAAUGUGGUGCUUUUGGGGAUAUUUAAGAGAGUAUUCAGCAGCUUAUGAGCCUUAGACGAUGUGGUUUUAUGCAUAGGUCUCGUGUGGUGAGUCAGGGUUGAGGACUACGGUAUCAUGGCAAGGAGAAGUAUCAAUUAGAAGGUAAAUCAGAAGAAACUUGGAAUAAAUAGGGCAGCUUGGUAGUAGGUCAGAUCGACAUAGUAAGGGAUAUGAUUAGUUCUUUGGGUACUUAUGAGGUGAUGAGUUUCUACAGAUGUCUCGUGGCAAUGCUCUUGGGUUUUUGGUGAUCUGCGUAGCUUGGAUGAGCUAAAAGGAUUCAGUCCUGACGGUUUGGUUUUGUGCAAAUAGGAUUCAAAGAGUUCUUGAUGGUUUUCUACCAAAGUUAAAGAUGUAUAUUUUCUACUGGCAUGAAGAGCAGGUGAUGUAUAGUGAUUUUCUUCUAGAUAAGAUCAAAUGGUAAGUUCUUGGCUAGUCGAGUACUUAGUUGCUUGUGGCUCAGAAUGGAUUACAAAGUCCUCAUAUGACCUAGGAUGGCAUGGUAUAUGCGGUAUGUUGUGUAGGGUUGAGAUUGUAUGUGUAAGGUCACAAUUUAGUUCUGAAAGGAAGGUCAUAAAUUCUUAGGCAGCACAGGCAUUUUCAGAUGAUUAGGCAAAUGAUAUUGCUAAUUGGUGUGGCUUGAAGAGGGCAUACAUUUAAGAAAGGGCAAUGUGAUUAAGUUAAUAAUACAUCAUUAGUUUUGCAACACUCUCUUGUUUGAUCGACUGCUGAUAUUCGAGUUUGCUUGGUGGCACAGAAGAAUUUUAGGAGUAUCCCUCGUAGAAUGAUGGGUAUUAGAGGUGUGUUAUAUAUUCGAACGGUGUAAUUGGGAUCAGAUAUGGUGAUUUGUGUGCUAUAUGGAUUUUGGAGACCGGGAGUUCUCAUAAACAGGUUAUGUUGUGGUUGCGGGUCGCGUAUAUCGGCCUUGUGUUGUGACUAUCGGGGGUUUAGAGACCCGAGUGGAUCCUUUGUUGCUUAUUAUGUUACAUUUUAAUGUGAUAUUGGGUAUGGACUGGUUGUCUUCGUAUCGUGUUAUUCUGGACUGUUGCGCUAAGACGAUGACGUUGGCUAUGCCAGGGAUGCCUCAGAUUGAGUGGUGAGGUUCGACGAAUUAUGUUCCUAGUAGGGUGAUUUCAUUUUUGAAUACCCAGCGGAUGGUUGGGAAGGGUUGUAUUUCUUAUUUUUCCUUUGUUAGGGAUGUCAGUGCAGAGACUUCUACCAUUGAUCCAGUUCCGGUGGUGAGGGAUUUUUCAGAUGUGUUUCCUGCUGCCGGGCAUGCCACCAGAUAGGGUUGUUGAUUUCGGUAUUAAUUUGGUAUUGGGCACUAUAUCGUAUGGAACCGGCGAAGUUAAAGGAGUUGAAGGAGCAGCUUCAGGAACUCCUUGAUAAGGGGUUCAUUGGUAGGACAAUAUGGAUAUGUGUUCUAUAUCGAGUCGGCUUUGUUCACUACGAGUUGCUAUUGUUGUGGGAUGUGUUGAUUCGAUUGUUAUUGAGCUUAUUAGUGUUCUGGGGUGAUCUAUGAGUUACCUUUUUGUGUUGCGAGGCGUUAUGAUUUGUUGGUUGUAGGCACAUAUGGUAAAGUUCUAUUGGGGUCUCAUAGUGGAAUUCGAGCGAGAAGAGUAUUGGGUAUUGCUCAGUGGAUGGUGUAUCGGUUGUGUCCUUUCAGGUUUGUGUGGUGUUAUGUCAUUUGAUUUGUCGUGGUUAUGAUGAUUUUCUUUUGGUACUAGACAUUAAAUUGCGCGUGGUUGUUGAUUUUGAGCACAGUGACUUGAGAUGUUUCAUGUGGACCAGUGUUUGGAUAGGGUCGCGCAUUACAGCAAAGUUAUGUGGAGGUAUGAUCCUUUGGGUUAGAUUCAUGUGUUCUGGUUCUAUACUGUGUGAUGAUUCUCAGCAUUGUGUGGUGGUGGUACUGGUGAGCUUGCGGCACAGCUAUCUCAUUUGAGUCAUUUUUCCAUGAUUUUGAGUACAUUUGGAUUAUUGCUUAUUGGUGCGCGGGUCGCACGGGUUGUGGAUCUAGAUUCUAUCGAUGUGUCAUGUCACUAGAGUAGUCGUGUUGGAUGAGAUGAGGUCAUUGAGAUCUAGAAUGAAUACUAUCGCAUUCGAUUUCAGCAUGUUGGAAGGAUAAUAUCGGGAUUCAGCUUAGAAAAUUACUAUGGUCCUUGCCAAAGGAGAGGGAGUUUCUUGAAUGGUUGAUCUGAGGAAUGGUUACGACUUUUUGCAUGUUUCUUUCAUCAUUGGCAGUAUACAAAAGUGUUGGAAUGAGACUUUAUUUGAUAAGAGGUGUAUUAUCGUUAUUCGGUUGUUGUGUGCAACUGCCGUGAUUUGAAGUUAUCGCUACGAGUGAUUGAGUUAUGUGGUAUAUCAUGUAAUUGCAUCUAAGGCUACAAAUACGAUUUGUUACAGCUUUUUCAGACUUAUCUAGCGUAUAGAUGUGAGAUUCUGGUAUUAUAGAUAAGUUCGGAAAUGGAAAUUUGGUUCUAAGGUUCAUGGGCUUGGUUGGAUUGCAAAAUUUCAGUCAUGUUGCAUUAUCAGACCUAUAUAGGAUAGGAUGAUGUGGGAUCACCCCCGGGUAUGUGCAUGGUAAGAUUAUUUAGCGAUUUGUUGGCUUGUGGAACAACUCUGGGCACAUUCGAGGAUGAACGUAUGUUUAAGUGGGGGAGGAUGUAAUGACACGACUGGUCGUUUUAAGCAUUUUCACUUUGUUCGCUAGUUCUCGGUCAUGACUAGCCCUGUAAGAAGUAUUAUGACUUAUGUAAAUCGUCGAUUUUAGUUUUCAAGUUAAUCGGAAUAGAUAUGGAAGAAUGAUUCUCAACUUGAAGCUUUAAAUUUGAAAGGUUUAACAGUCUUAACUUUUUAGUGUUCGAUCUCGGAUUUGGAUUUUUACGAUUUGGUUAGCUCCGCUGGGUGAUUUUGGACUUAAGAGCGUAUUCGGAAUGCAAUUUGGAUGUUUGUGGUAGAUUUAGGCUUGAAUUGGCAAAAUUGAAAAUUUGGCAUUUUUUAGUCGGCAGUGGAAAUCUUGAUAUCAAGGUCGGAAUGGAAUUUUGAAAAUUUAAGUAGGUCUGUUGUGUCAUUUGUGACGUGUGUGCAAAAUUGCAGGUCAUUCGGAUGACCUUUGAUAGGUCUUGGCAUCGUUUGCGAAAUUCGGAAGUUUGGAAAUUCUUAAGCUUGAAUCUGAGGGUGAUUUGAUGUUUUGAUGUUGUUUUGAGUGUUCUAAGGUUGGAAUAAGUUUGAACGGUGAUAGGUGACUUGUUGGCAUGUCUGGUUCAAGUCCCGAGGGCCUCGGGAUGGAUUUGAGUGGUUGACGAGAAGUUUAGCUUUGAGUGUUGCUGUAGAUUUUGAUACUUCUGUCAUUUCUGCACCUGUAGAUUGGGGAUCGCAGGUGUGAGGUCGCAGAUGCAUGAGGAAGGCCACAGAUGCAUUUUUGGAACAGUUGAAGCUUGAUCGUAGGUGUGGCGAUUUUAUUGCACCAGCAGGGCUGCAGGUGUGAUGUUGUGUUCGCAUAAGCGGUGUCUGAGGGCAUAAGUGGGAACCGCACCUGUGAUGAAUUUUCCGUAGGUGCGGCGUCGCAAAAGUGACAUUUUGACCGCAGAUGGGGUACCUUUGGGCAAAAAGUAUAAAUUGUGGGCUUCGCGAAUUUUGGUUCAUUUUCUACCAUUUUUAGUCGGCUUUGGAGCUUUUGAGAUCGAGUUUGAGGAGGAAUUCAAGGGUUUAUUAGUAAGGUAAGUGGAUUGAGCCCUAAUACUCGUAUAUGUGAUGAUUUCCCGUUGAUUAAUCUUGUAAUUUAUGAAGAUUAGUGGUGAAAAUGAGGGGCUAGAGCUUGGGAUUUUUGGAGAGUUGGAUUGAGGACUUGAGGGGUUAAAUGGAGUUGGAUUUUGAUAAAUUUGAUAUGUAUAGACUCGUGAGAGGACAAGGAUUCUAGUUUUGUGAUUUUUAUCGGAUUCUGAGAUGUGGGCCCGGGGUCGGGUUUGGCCAAUUUCGGGAAUUUUGAUUUAAUUUGAUAAUUUUCAUGUGGGCCUUGUUCAUUUAGCAUGUAUUGAUGAUAUGAUUCUGAUUUUGGAUAGAUUCGGGAUGAUUUGAGGCCGAGUCGAGCGGCAAGGGCAUCGCGGUGUAGAUUUUAAUCCGGUUAGAGGUAAGUAAUGAUUGUAAAUGUUGUCCUGAGGGUAUGAAACACCGGAUUUCACAUUGUUUCACUACUUUGAGGUAACGCACACGCUAGAUGACGAGCGUGAGGUCGUACACCGUUGGAGAUUGUGACUUGGUCUGUCUUGUACGACUAUUAUUUCGCGUAUUUGAUUGAAAACUAUUUGAUACUAUUGUGUUUUGGAAAGCAUUACUAUGUUUUGGACUGGAUGCCAUAUUUGAGCCUCAUGCCAACUGUUUGGACCCUUAGGGGUUUUCUUUACUGAAAUUCCUCACUAUUUUGAUUCAAUAACUAUACACAAUCAUGUUAUGUUCUACUGAUUUUAUAACUCAGUCUUAUUUACCCUAAUUUGGUGCAUAAAUGAUAUUUCGACUGAGCAUCUUGUGUUACUGUAGCCCGAGUGGCUUUAGAGAUUUCUGACUGAGUGAGGCCAAGGGACUGUGUUGUGAGGAUAUCAUGGAAUUGGGUUGUGCGCCACAACAUCUUGUACUAAUUUGUGAUAUAUGAGAGGCCGAGGGCCUGAUUUAUUAUGCCAUGAUGUGGCUUGUUAUGUGAGGCCGAGGGUCUGAUUUAUUAUGCCACGAGAUGGCUUGUUAUAGAGCUUGGGCUGUAGGAGCCCCUUCGGAGUUUGAACGCCCCCGGUGAGUGCGGGUACGUAGUGUGAUUUGAUAUAUAUACUGUUUUGGAAACACACUGUACUUACUGGGGUGUUAUGACAUGGAUUAUGUGUUUUCUUACUGCUCAGUCUUUAUUUACUCUUAUUGCUUAAUGAGUUGACGUAUUCACAUUACUCCCUGCACCUUGUGUGUAUAUUCAGGUAUUUCUGAAUCCGGUAGCAGGUGUUGAUUACUUAGUGGCAGGUUCAUCGGAGUUACCAAGGUAGCUGCUCGGUGUUCCUAGCCCUGCUCUUCUCCCUCUUAUCUUCCUUAGACUAUUUUUAGUAUAUUUUCAGACUCUUCGUUGUAUUCAUACCUUUGUAGAUGCUCGUGACUUGUAACACCCCGAUGUCGGGCUUGUGUUAUUUUCUUC